UGCCAGCCGCCGCGGUAAUACGGAGGGGGCGAGCGUUAUUCGGAAUUACUGGGCGUAAAGGGUGCGUAGGCGGCCCAUCAAGUUAGACGUGAAAGCCCCGGGCUCAACCUGGGAAUUGCAGUUGAUACUGGCAAGCUAGAGUACGGGAGAGGGAGGUAGAAUUCCAUGUGUAGCGGUGAAAUGCGUAGAUAUAUGGAGGAAUACCAGUGGCGAAGGCGGCCUCCUGGCUCGAUACUGACACUGAGGUGCGAAAGCGUGGGUAGCAAACAGGAUUAGAUA
RNAcentral lists this ribosomal RNA (279 nucleotides) under uncultured bacterium. RNAcentral's name for it is "partial 16S ribosomal RNA". It matches the Rfam family "Bacterial small subunit ribosomal RNA", at positions 506 to 784 of the family's 1533-position model. The record is from RNAcentral.